UUGACGUAACCGAAGGAGAAAAACAAGGAGACGAUGUUGACUUGGUUUGUGGCGUGAUCAAAUGGGAGAUGGUGGCGGCGCUAGGGUUUGAAUGGUGGAAGAACACAAUGCAACCAGCAACAAGGAAACGUGAAAGCACACAAAUUCAACAAUGCAGAUUAUUGAAAGAAAGUGCGAGGCUCAAAAGGGUGCUGGGAUAAGAUCUAACCUGAAUUUUUAUGUGGUUUUGUGGACUGUAGGAAAAAAAACGCUCGAUAAACUCACCGAUCAACCUGGAAAUCUGAUACCAAUUGAUGUAGUUGAGGUGCCCGAUCUUUCGGCGAGUAGAGAUAAUUCCGAUUUGGCGGAAGAUGACCCUUGCGAUCCGACUACGACGAGCAAGCCCGAGGCGCCAAUGCAAUCGCUGAACCAACUCCCUGUGGUUACCGACCUUGCUGAUGCGAGAUCAGCCUGAUCACGAAGAUCGUUUCCUGUGCGCAAUCGAAGAACGAACAAGAAAAAGAUGCGAGCAAUCUAAUCUAUUACUCGAGGGUGGAGUUCUGAAUACACGAAGACAGCGCAGAUUUGCGCGUGUUCGAGAGUAGCUAAGGCUAACGUAAAACAAAACUCAGGAAAUAAAGGAGGCGCAGCUCCUGAAUAAAUAGAGAGGGGGCGCAGCCCCUAGGGGCGGCCAACCCUAGGUCGUCCAUUAUGGGCCGCAAUUGGGCUGGUCGUCUAUUCUUCCGGGCCUUCGUUCUUUAACAACAUGAUGUAGUUCAAUUCUCUUGCACGGGCCCGAGUCACUGGCCCAGGUGGAAGGGGUGGCGCCUGGGCUGGAGAAGGUGCUGCUGGUGUAGAUGUGCUCGUGUUGGUGUUGAUGUCCGCAUCAUUUAUCAAGCAGCGUCUGCACCUGGCGCUGGAUCUCCUUCGUCUCAUCUGAAUUUGUACGGUGCGGGGCGCGGUUCGAAAGAGAAGCGCCGGGGAUGAGAUCGAUCUGAUGCUCAAUGUCACGGAGCGGAGGAAGACCCGGUGGUAAGUCCAUAGGAAAAACAUCAGCAUACUCCUGCAAAAGGUUAACAACAGCAGGGGUAUAUCCAAAGACGGUGCAUCAUCAAGCGGAACAAGCAUGCGCGAGCAUACAAGUGCAUAACAGGGCAUAUGAGCUUCAUGGAGAUCAUCAAAAUCAGCACAUGUAGCAAGUAAAACAGGAGAGUGCAGCUUGAUUUCAGAUUUAAUAGGUGCAGCUGAUGUCGAUUUGACUUGUUGUGCAGUUUUAGCAGCCCUAGUAAGAUCAUCUUUCAAAAUUUGGUCAGGGGUCAUUGGAUGUAUAAUUAUUUUCUGGCCUUUAAACAUGAAAGAAUAAUGAUUUGAACGACCAUGAUGUAAACUAUCUGUAUCAUAUUGCCAAGGUCGACCCAAUAACAAAGAGCAUGCUUCCAAAGGAAUAACAUCGCAAUCAGCAUAAUCAGAAUAAAAACCCAGCGAAAAGGGGACACGUACCGAACGUGUUACUUUUAUUUUACCACCAUCAUUAAGCCAUUGAAUGUGAUACAGAUGUGGGUGUGCGUGAGUGGGCAAGGAUAAUUUCUCUACCAAAGCUGUACUUGCCAAAUUUGCAGCUGCCACUAUCAAUGAUGAUGCGAAUCGACCGUUCGUGCACAACGCCCUUUGUAUGGAAUAGAGUGUGUCGUUGAUUUUUUUCGGCCUAGGCAACCUGUGUGCUGAGAACACGCUGCACAACAAGACUCUCAUACCUAUCGGUGUCGAUGGGAUCAAUGUGGACUUCCUCAUUUUCUGCAUGGUUAGUGGCAAUCAUAGCAUGACUAAUUUCCUUGGAAUCACUGGCUGUAGAGUACUCACCAUUGUCACGUAUAAGCAAGGUACGCUUGUUUGUGCAGUCCCGAAUCAUGUGCCCAAACCCUCUGCAACGAUGACACUAAAUAUCCCAUGUACGUCCUGUGGAAGAAACGGUGCCUUUAGCAGUGGGCGCCGCUGGCUUGACCGUCCCUGUGCGCGGUGUAGUGCUAGGCGUAGAAGGUGCAGGGCUGGAAGGAGUUGAGCUGUGUGUCGAACCCUGGCCUGCAAAAGAGUUAGUAUAUGUCUUUGAUCGUCGUCCCUGCACUUCACGUUCAGCUUUGCAAGCAUAUUCAAACAAUGUGGUUAUAUCAAAAUAAUCCUUAUAAUCAAGUAUAUCCUGAAUUUCCCUGUUCAAACCACCACGAAAACGCGCCAUAGCAGCGUCAUCCGACUCAACCAAACCACAACGAAGCAUACCCUUUUGUAACUCCUGGUAAUAUUCCUCAACAGAUUGUGAACCUUGUUGAAAACACUGCAUUUUGUUAAGCAAAUCACGGGCAUAAUAGGAAGGAACAAAUCUGUGGCGCAUGGCAGUAUUUAAUUGGGUCCAAGUAGUGACACUGUUAAUGGGAAGUUUUUGUUUAUACUCACGCCACCAAAUUAAAGCAAAAUCAGUAAAUUCACUAAUGGCAGCCUUCACUUGGCUAUUAGCAGGAAUAUCAUGGCAUGAAAAUUUUUGUUCUACCUCCAAUUCCCAGUCAAGAUAUGCAGCAGGAUCAUAUUUACCAUUAAAAGAUGGAAUUUUAAAUUUAAUCUUAGCAAAUGAGUCAUUAGGAGGAUGACGAACCACACGGCGUGCACGACCACGACGAUCUCCAUCGUCCUGCUCAGUGUCACCGCCGUAGUCCUGCUCCAUCUUUGUGGUCAACGCAUCAAGGCGUGCCAGGAUGGUGUCGAGUGUGGUGCGAGUCGCCGUUUGAGCAAGGUCAAGCUGGUUGAAACGUGCGGUUGUCGAAGUGACCGUUGAAUUAAGCCCUUCAUGCAUCGUCCUAAUGUCAGCAGCAAGUCCAUCAACUUGUCCCCUUACUUCCUGCAACUGGACAUCCACCGUGUCGUGUACUCCUGCCAUAUUUAGCGCAAACAGCAAAACACCAAAAGGGGAAAAACUGACGACAACAGGGGAAUGGUGGUGACAACUCGCUCAAUGGAAUGCUGUUAUCAAGUUCUUAUCUGUUCUUACCAAGCCAUAGUGGUGAACCGCAACCAACAGGUGGAACCGGUGAAAGAUUGGAUGAGCGAUUGCCUGGAGAAACAGAAACCUGCUCGUCGUAGAAAUAUGUGGAGUUCUAGGUAGGCUGCACUCAAGUCAAGGAUUAGCACGAUCAAACAAUAAUGCAAAGUUGAAUAUAGUGCAAAACACAAAACUAUAUUGCUGGACACAAGUGCAAAGGACGGAUGGAACUAGCAAAAUGGCAGUACCGUAAAUAUUGUACUAGCGAGGCCAAAAAGGCACUAGUAGGAAUCACAAGUGAUUUUGUUUUUCCUUUUUGUAUGAUUUUUUUUGAUAUUUUUCUCAGCACAAGAAGCAACAAAAUAGGAUCUACACCAAGUUUCACCUAAAACAAAGAUCAGAUGUGGUCUACAGAAAAAGAGCAAGUUCUCUGAAAAGCGUGCAAGAACUAUGACGAAUUUUUUUCUUUAUUUUCCUGAUUUUUUUUGACAAUAUUAUCAAAACCAAACAGGACUUAGGCUAGUUUGGCUGGCCUCAGAAUAGUGUCAACAAGCUCCUGUAAAAAUUUCAGAUUUUUUGGACAACCGAGCGAAAAGUUAUGCCCGGUUUAAGGAAGGUACCUCAAGUUAUGUUUAAAACGACCGAGAUGAGUCAACAGGUUCCUUUCUUUUUUUUGUUUGUUCUCUGAUUCUAUCCUUUCUCUUUUGUUUUCUUUUUUUCUUUUUUUUUCUUCUAUUUCUGUUUUUUUUACGUAACCGAAGGAGAAAAACAAGGAAGCGGCAUUGACUCAGUUUGUGGCGUUGACUCGGUUUGACGUAACCAAAGGAGAAAAACAAGGAAGAUGGUGGCGGCGCGCUAGGGUUUGAAUGGUCGAAGAAAGAAGAAUGGUGAGAAAAAAACACAAUGCGACCAGCAACAAAUGACGCGAAAGCACACAAAUUCAACAAUGCAGAUUAUUCAAAGAAGGUGCGAGGCUCAAAAGGGUGCUGGGAUAAGGUCUAACCUGAAUUUUAUGUGGUUUUGUGGACUG
Molecule: long non-coding RNA, 4037 nt
Filed under: Zea mays
Lineage: Eukaryota; Viridiplantae; Streptophyta; Magnoliopsida; Poales; Poaceae
Description: long non-coding RNA (ZMAY_LNC003175)
Source: RNAcentral